CGCAUCUGUGCAUGCAGCAUAUCAAUAAGCGGAGGAAAAGUACCUACGCUUAGGAUGUUGAAGAUAUGCGCGACACGACUCUAUACAUGACUCUGCGCAUAUCAAUAAGCGGAGGAAAAGAAACUAACAAGGAUUCCCUUAGUAACGGCGAGUGAAGCGGGAAGAGCUCAAAUUUGAAAUCUUCAAGGUUUUACCUUGACGAAUUGUAGUUUAAAGAAGUGUUUUCUGCUGAAGUUUUGGUAAAAGUUCUUUGGAAUAGGACAUCAUAGAGGGUGAGAAUCCCGUAUUUGACCAUUACUUUCAGCUUUGUGAUACACUUUCAAAGAGUCGGAUUGUUUGGGAAUGCAGUCCAAAAUGGGUGGUAAAUUUCAUCUAAAGCUAAAUAUUGGCGAGAGACCGAUAGCGAACAAGUACCGUGAGGGAAAGAUGAAAAGAACUUUGAAAAGAGAGUUGAACAGUACGUGAAAUUGUCAAAAGGGAAGCGUUUGACACCAGUGUUGUUUUCUCGAAAAUCAAUUAAAAAUGGCUCGAUUUUGUAUUGCUGAGACCUUAAAAGCUCACUGUACAUUUUUCGUGUCUUUUUUAAUGCACUUUUCGUUUAACAAGUCAACAUCAGUUUCUUUUGUUGUAAAAGGGUCAUUGGAAGGUGGCUUUCUUUUCGGAGAAAGUGUUUAUAGCCUUUGGCCUCUGCAAUCGGAGAGACUGAGGUCUGCAGCGUAGACUCUUCGGGGUUAGAUACAUUUGUGCUAAGUUAUAGCUUUUUAUAGACAACUUGUUGACUAUAAUUAGUCUUGUAGCUUACUCGCUUAUGCUAUUUUACCUACGCUUAGGAUGUUGAAGAUAUGCGCGACACG
RNAcentral lists this ribosomal RNA (854 nucleotides) under uncultured Neocallimastigales. Its description in RNAcentral is "partial large subunit ribosomal RNA". It matches the Rfam family "Eukaryotic large subunit ribosomal RNA", at positions 1 to 644 of the family's 3401-position model. Lineage: Eukaryota; Fungi; Neocallimastigomycota; Neocallimastigomycetes; Neocallimastigales. The record is from RNAcentral.